CAAUAUGUGAAUUGUUUUGAAUUCUAUUAAGUUUUGGAAUUUCAAAUAAAAUGAAACUAUUGUUUGCGAUGUUUUGAAACGAAAAACGGAAACGUUUUCGGAACGUUUAUUAAGAAAAACGUUACGUUUCCGAACUGAAUUAUCGACUUUUACUCCGUCGCUCGGUUGCGAAAACUUUCUUCACGAAAGUUGUAGAGCUCGUCGAUACGAGUUCGAGAGUAUGUGACGCGUUCGAAUCGGACGUCGGAGGUAAAAGUUAUUAACGUCGGAAGUUAGUUUCCGAUUUGGAAACUAGUAUAAAUAGAUAAUUAUGGAAUUAGGGUUUCCAUAAUCAGAAACCCUUUCUCUCUCUCUCUCUCAUCCCGCCGCUCUCCCUUUCUCUCUCCCUCCCUCGCGACUCUCUCUCCCCUAUCUCUCCUUCCAAGCCGGCGAUUUCCCUCCAAUCGCCUCCGUGCUCGACACCGCCGGUGUCACAGAGACCGCGUGACCACGACGCAGCGAUCGGUAGUAGCGGCGACGCACCCCGAGCGGGGAUCGAGCAACACCGACGAAGCUUGACCUCGGGAUCGUCGAGUUCGACGCGGCCGGCAUCGUAGGAGCUCGGCGCCACCACCACGACCUCGCCCUUUCCUCCGCGACACGAACCUACCCACGGGGGACUCACCUCGAGCAGCGGCGCCAUCGAUCACCCUUCCUCCGAAACCGAGUCUCACGGCGACUUUUGGAGCUUCAUCGAGGGAAUCCGACGGUCCAAAACGUCGAUAGAGGUGAUCGCUAAAUCGAGGAAAGGAAAUAUCAUCGGGAAUUGUGGAUUUACGCUCGAGUCGUUAAGGGGAUACUUCCGCAGGUGCUGAGUAGUAGUGAUUGAGUGACGACUCCGAAGACUCGAAGUCGAUCGCAUCCAGUCGUGGUGAGGUUCCAGCGUGGAUUUUGUGUGAGAUUUGGUGUGAUUUUAUUUGUGAGGUUAUUGUGAGGAUUAUACAAUUCCAUUUGUUAUAUGUUGAAUUAUCAUUUGGGUUUGUAAUAAUCGGCUUGACUGAGUUAUAUUUUAAACUCAGAUGUGAUCCGCUGCGACAUUAAAAUGAUUUCGAUUUCAUUGAGAUUAUUUUUGUGUUUAACGAUUUUAAGAUUUUGAGUGUUGAAGCUCGAAAUUUUAGGGUCGUUACAGUUGGUAUCAGAGCCUAAGUGCGUAUUUGGCGAUAAUCAAUAUCAUCCGGGAGCGAUGAUCCGACUGCAGGCGGGCCCCCAUCACAUGCUCCUCGGUAUUGAUAUGUCGUCGGGUACGCGAGAGUGUUUUAGGAGCCAUACCUAAUGUUUGGUCCUCCGAGAAGUAUCGUGAUGAUACUUCGAUGAUUCAUCAUAUCCCGAAAUUUCAUGUUAAUACCUAUUAAAUCUGUUUUAGUCGAAUUCGAGACUUAACAUGUAUGACUGAGUGUUAAUUGUUGAAUGGUGAUGAAUUUGGAAAAUGGCCGU
Molecule: long non-coding RNA, 1473 nt
Organism: Argentina anserina (silverweed cinquefoil)
Lineage: Eukaryota; Viridiplantae; Streptophyta; Magnoliopsida; Rosales; Rosaceae
Exons: 3
Source: RefSeq, a predicted model, not a curated record